RNA transcript from Magnolia sinica, 2612 nucleotides. It is a transcript of the gene named putative pentatricopeptide repeat-containing protein At1g02420, with no coding region annotated. NCBI's taxonomy places the organism in Eukaryota, Viridiplantae, Streptophyta, Magnoliopsida, Magnoliales, Magnoliaceae. The record is from RefSeq and is a predicted model, not a curated record. The transcript has 5 exons.
GGGUAGAUUGGUCAUUUUCUCCAAAAUCCCAGCAGAGCCCUAAACUGCAAUCCCAGCAGACCUACUCAGUUCUCAUCAAUGGCGUCCCUUCUUCCUCAAUCCUCUCUCAGGCUCUGCAAUUUCCAAAUUCCCUUUUUGGGUCGUCUUCCUCUUUCAAAAUCCCAUCUGAGUUUUUCAAAUUUCAACGCAGUUCAUCUGAUUUCGCACCCAAAACCAUCCGCCAUUUGAAGAAAGAAAUCAGCUAAAAAUCACCCAAUCACCCUAGAAAAAAGAACAACAAGAAGAAGAAAGGCAGGAAAAAUGCUUUCAAAAAUCUGUUCAUUCCAAUCCCCAAAAUGGUAUGCUCAUUCCCUUCUCUCCCCAAAUUUCAAAUUCCAAAAUUCCCUUAUUGUCAGACUCUUUUCUUCUGAAAAUUCAGACGCCGAAGCUGAAGUGAAAACCAUUUUACAUAUAAUCAACACUUCCAAUUCUAAUCAAAGCAUGAGAGGAUCUUUGAAAGAAAGUGGAAUCUUCCUAUCGAACGGUUUGAUAGACCGAGUCCUGAAAAGGGUCCGGUUCAGCCAUUCGAAUCCCAUGCAAGCAUUGGAAUUCUUCUAUAUAACAGGAAAAAGAAGUGGCUUUUACCACACACCAUUUUCAUACGAUACAAUGCUAUACGUUCUCGGAAGAAGCCGGAAGUUCGACAAGGUUUGGGAAGUCCUCGUUGAAAUGCGCCGGAAAGAUCGGAAUUUGAUAACUACCCGUACUCUUCAGAUAGUUCUCGCUAGAAUUGCCAAAGUCUGCUCUGUCCGUCAGACAGUCGAGAGCUUCCGGAAGUUCCGGAAACUGUUUGUGGAAUUCGAUACUGACUGUUUCAAUGCCUUGUUGAGAACCCUCUGUCAGGAGAAAAGCAUGAGAGAUGCAAGGAAUGUGUAUCAUGAGCUGAAGCAUAAGUUCCGGCCGAAUCUACAGACAUUCAACAUACUUUUGUCAGGUUGGAAGUCAUCGGAAGAAGCGGAGCAUUUUUUCGAUGAGAUGAUGGAAUUGGGUGUUAAGCCGGAUCUUGUUUCAUACAAUUGCUUGGUCGAUGUGUAUUGCAAGAGUAGAGAGAUGGAGAAGGCAUUUACGACCAUCGAGAAGAUGAGAGACGGGGAGAUUUAUCCAGAUGUCUUCACAUAUACGAGUAUAAUUGGAGGGUUGGGAUUGGUGGGCCAGCCCGAUAAGGCGAGAGAUGUUCUCAAGGAGAUGAAGGAGCAUGGGUGCUAUCCUGAUGCUGCAGCUUACAAUGCUGUGAUAAGGAAUUUCUGUAUUGCAAAGAGGCUCGGAGAUGCUUAUCAGUUGAUGGAUGAGAUGGUGAACCGGGGCUUGGACCCAAAUCCGACGACUUAUAAUCUGUUCUUUCGGUGUUUUUACUGGUCGAACGAUCUGGGGAGUGCGUGGAGCAUGUAUAGGAGGAUGAUGGAUGCUGGGUGCUUGCCAAACACGCAGUCGUGCAUGUUUCUUAUUAGAUUGUUUCGUAGGCAGGAAAAAGUGGAAAUGGCGCUCAAGCUGUGGGGCGAUAUGGUGGAGAAGGGUUUUGGGUCAUAUACAUUGGUGUCGGAUGUGUUGUUUGAUUUCCUUUGUGAUAUGGGGAAGUUGGAUGAAGCAGAGGAAUGUUUUCUGCAGAUGUUUGAGAAAGGGCAGAAGCCGAGCAAUGUCGCUUUUAGGAGGAUCAAGGUUCUCAUGGAAUUGGCAAAGAGGCAUGAUAGCCUCAGGCAUUUGGCAGAAAAGAUGGCGGUUUUUGGGAAUUUAGCAGAAGUGGAUGGAGCGGGUGAAAUAACAGAAACGGCAUCCUACUGUCCACAAUAGUGUUGAAUUGGAUCCUGCUGUAAUUCAGUAUCGUUUGAGACAGAAAAUAGGCAUUCGUUUUUAACCAUAUUCAUUUUGAAGAGGUGUCCAAAUCAAUCAAUUUAUACACCAAGCUGACUGCUAAUGGCAGAGAUUUAUGGUUAUUAUAGCCUUGAGGCAAAUUGCCAAAGAACCCAGUUGCAAACUUAUGUUGUUUUUCAUAAGUUACUGAAGAAGGCAUUGGGAGAGGCUGGAAGAGAGGAGUUGCAUCCGAACCAAGAAAGAGAAGCAUCGAACAAAAACCAGGUGAACUUCUCGUACUUCGAAGCAGGAGAAAACAAACAGGCUCUCGCGAAACUUGUAGGUUGCAAGAGGUGGUCUAAAUAGCUGUUUAUUUGCCAAGCGGAACUGACAAUGAAAUAAAGAACAAUUGGAACAUAGACUUGUAUCUGAUAGUUGGACAGUGAAGUUUUUUUUUUUUUUCUUUAGGUGACAUGGUAUGCCUCCGCAUUUACCUCCAGAUAUAUACAGUUCAGAUAUUGUAUACAGUGUUAAAAAGCAUUUUUCAAUUGUUCGCAUCAACUUGUGGGGCAUGGAUGAUUUCAAUUGCUGAGAUUUGAUUUGUGAUGAUGGUGACGGGAAACUAGCCAUUGAUCCUUUCAAUGAUGUAAUUAGUUUUUUUUUUUUUUUUUCAUUUGGUCUGUUUGGAAUUGAAAGUGACUGAGAAUAUUAUGUUACUUAUCACAUGCAGAGAUUUGAAAUUUUCUUUUAAAAAGUUACUUAUCAAUAUGUUAUUACCAAACAUA